GACGGGGGCCCGCACAAGCGGUGGAGCAUGUGGUUUAAUUCGAUGAUACGCGAGAAACCUUACCAGGGCUUGACAUAUACAGGAAUGUUGUAGAGAUACAGCAGCCGCUUGCGGUCUGUAUACAGGUGCUGCAUGGCUGUCGUCAGCUCGUGCUGUGAAGUGUUGGGUUAAGUCCCGCAACGAGCGCAACCCUAUCAUCUGUUGCCAGCAUUUAAGGUGGGGACUCAGAUGAGACUGCCGGUGACAAACCGGAGGAAGUGGGGACGACGUCAAGUCAUCAUGGCCCUUAUGUCCCGGGCUACACACGUGCUACAAUGGCCGGUACAGAGUGAAGCGAGACCGCGAGGUGAAGCAAAACGCAGAAAGCCGGUCUCAGUACGGAUUGGAGUCUGAAACUCGACUUCAUGAAGUUGGAAUCGCUAGUAAUCGCGCAUCAGCAUGGCGCGGUGAAUACGUUCCCGGGCCUU
RNAcentral lists this ribosomal RNA (467 nucleotides) under uncultured Spirochaeta sp. RNAcentral's name for it is "bacterial SSU rRNA". It matches the Rfam family "Bacterial small subunit ribosomal RNA", at positions 912 to 1382 of the family's 1533-position model. Lineage: Bacteria; Pseudomonadati; Spirochaetota; Spirochaetia; Spirochaetales; Spirochaetaceae. The record is from RNAcentral.